GGAAAGGCAUAGAACGAAAAGAGUACCGGACAGAUUUAUCCAGAGAGAAGGGGCCGCCGGCUGAAAGCCCUUUUAUAGAGAAAUCCGGGAAAGUGCAUUCGGGAGCCGGUCCGGUGACUGUUCAUCAGAACACAGUCGGGCACGCAGGCCAGCGUUAUGGGCAGAUAAGCGGAAGACAGAUGUCUUCAAGUAGAGUGGAACCGCGGAAAUAUUCGUCUCUAUA
Molecule: non-coding RNA, 223 nt
Filed under: Blautia sp.
Lineage: Bacteria; Bacillati; Bacillota; Clostridia; Lachnospirales; Lachnospiraceae
Description: T-box sequence
Rfam family: T-box leader
About the family: Uncharged tRNA acts as the effector for transcription antitermination of genes in the T-box leader family.
Source: RNAcentral